RNAcentral lists this transfer RNA (67 nucleotides) under Nematostella vectensis (starlet sea anemone). It matches the Rfam family "tRNA". Rfam says of the family: Transfer RNA (tRNA) molecules are approximately 80 nucleotides in length. Their secondary structure includes four short double-helical elements and three loops (D, anti-codon, and T loops). Lineage: Eukaryota; Metazoa; Cnidaria; Anthozoa; Actiniaria; Edwardsiidae. The record is from Rfam by way of RNAcentral.
CUCCGUGGAGCAAUGUUACCGCGUCUGACUCCAGAUCAGAAGGUUGCGUGUUCAAAUCACGUCGGGG